RNAcentral lists this ribosomal RNA (261 nucleotides) under uncultured bacterium. Its description in RNAcentral is "partial 16S ribosomal RNA". It matches the Rfam family "Bacterial small subunit ribosomal RNA", at positions 15 to 271 of the family's 1533-position model. The record is from RNAcentral.
GAUCCUGGCUCAGAUUGAACGCUGGCGGCAGGCCUAACACAUGCAAGUCGAACGGUAACAGGAAGAAGCUUGCUUCUUUGCUGACGAGUGGCGGACGGGUGAGUAAUGUCUGGGAAACUGCCUGAUGGAGGGGGAUAACUACUGGAAACGGUAGCUAAUACCGCAUAACGUCGCAAGACCAAAGAGGGGGGACCUUCGGGCCUCUUGCCAUCGGAUGUCGCCCGAGAGUGGGUAUUAGCUAGGUAGGGUAGGGGUAACCGG